UUUCCGUAGGUGAACCUGCGGAAGGAUCAUUACCUUUCAAUGCAGCAGAAUUGGGAUGGUUGAGUAUCUCGCCUUCCAAUUCUGCCUGUAUUCCACCCUUGUUUGUCAUACUAUUAUUUCCUCGGCAGGCUUGCCUGCCGAGUGAAACCAAUUAUAACCUAUUUAAUUUUCAAUCAGCGUCUGAAAAAAAUUAAUAAUUACAACUUUCAACAACGGAUCUCUUGGUUCUG
RNAcentral lists this unclassified non-coding RNA (230 nucleotides) under root metagenome. RNAcentral describes it as "partial contains small subunit ribosomal RNA, internal transcribed spacer 1, and 5.8S ribosomal RNA". The record is from RNAcentral.